Non-coding RNA from Flavobacterium flevense, 96 nucleotides. The record is from Rfam. Lineage: Bacteria; Pseudomonadati; Bacteroidota; Flavobacteriia; Flavobacteriales; Flavobacteriaceae.
CUCACACUUUAGGGGUGUCUGCAAUCGCAGGCUGAGAUUUUACCCUCUGAACCUGAUCUGGUUAAUACCAGCGUAGGGAAAAGUAAGAUGACUUCC